UUACGGUCAAAUCACACUGAAACACCGGUUCUCGUUCGAUCACCGAAGUUAAGCAUCAUAGAGCCAGGUCAGUACUUACAUGGGGGACCGCUUGGGAACACCUGGUACUGUAAG
Molecule: ribosomal RNA, 114 nt
Filed under: Acanthosepion pharaonis
Lineage: Eukaryota; Metazoa; Mollusca; Cephalopoda; Sepiida; Sepiidae
Source: RNAcentral